RNAcentral lists this ribosomal RNA (890 nucleotides) under uncultured bacterium. RNAcentral describes it as "bacterial SSU rRNA". It matches the Rfam family "Bacterial small subunit ribosomal RNA", at positions 510 to 1397 of the family's 1533-position model. The record is from RNAcentral.
AGCAGCCGCGGUAAUACGGAGGGUGCAAGCGUUACUCGGAAUCACUGGGCGUAAAGGACGCGUAGGCGGGUUGGAAAGUCUGAUGUGAAAUCCUACAGCUUAACUGUAGAACUGCAUUGGAAACUUUCAACCUAGAGUAUGGGAGGGGGAGAUGGAAUUAGUGGUGUAGGGGUAAAAUCCGUAGAUAUCACUAGGAAUACCCAAAGCGAAGGCGAUCUCCUGGAACAUAACUGACGCUAAGGCGUGAAAGCGUGGGGAGCAAACGGGAUUAGAUACCCCGGUAGUCCACGCCCUAAACGAUGAACACUAGUCGUCGGGAUGCUUGUCAUCUCGGUGAUGCACUUAACAGAUUAAGUGUUCCGCCUGGGGAGUACGGUCGCAAGAUUAAAACUCAAAGGAAUAGACGGGGACCCGCACAAGUGGUGGAGCAUGUGGUUUAAUUCGAAGAUACGCGAAGAACCUUACCUAGCCUUGACAUUGAAGAAACAGACCAGAGAUGGACUGUUGCCCUUCGGGGAAUCUGAAAACAGGUGCUGCACGGCUGUCGUCAGCUCGUGUCGUGAGAUGUUGGGUUAAGUCCCGCAACGAGCGCAACCCUCGUCUUUAGUUGCCAGCAGGUUAAGCUGGGCACUCUAAAGAGACUGCCUUCGCAAGGAGGAGGAAGGUGAGGACGACGUCAAGUCAUCAUGGCCCUUACGGCUAGGGCUACACACGUGCUACAAUGGGGCGUACAGAGUGUUGCGAUACCGCGAGGUGGAGCUAAUCACUUAAAGCGUCUCUCAGUUCGGAUUGGAGUCUGCAACUCGACUCCAUGAAGCUGGAAUCACUAGUAAUCGUAGAUCAGCAAUGCUACGGUGAAUACGUUCCCGGGUCUUGUACACACCGCCCGU